AAUUCUGAUGAACACUAACCAGUAGAAGGUAACCACACUGAUUGGCGGAGCUUGGAAGCCAAGUCUAACCUGCUCUGAGCUAAUGUGCAGUGUUGGCUCCUGUUGUGCUGCACAGGCCUUCGGUAUUACAAAUGGAACUCAAGAGCAUACUCCACUCGUCUCUACUAGUGGAUUGUUUCUGAACAUUGUCUGCACUGGGCUGCAGAUGCUCAUUACUUAAGUUCAAGGUUCUUACUGAUGUCACUGGAAAAUUUGUCUCUGCUCUGAGAAAUCACAGGGAUUAGUCUUUGUGACUGGUGAGGUGACCACACUAACACCUGGUGUUGAUAAGAUGGCAUAAAAACAGCCAGCUCUGGGAAGUCGUGCUAGAGAGAUGGCUCAGAAGUGAACAGCCCAUGCUGCUCUUCCGGAAGACCUGAGCUGGGUUACCAGCACCUAUGUUCUCCAGAUCACAGUCUUCACUAACUCCAGCUCCACGGGAUCUAACCCCCUCUUCCGGCCUCCAUGGUACUUUUACUCAUGUGCAUGACAUCCUCCCACACAUACUUAAUGAAAAAUAAGAAUUAAAUCUUUAAUAAUAAUAAAAAAAAGAGUCCCGGAAGAGAUU
RNAcentral lists this long non-coding RNA (607 nucleotides) under Mus pahari (shrew mouse). RNAcentral's name for it is "lncRNA (MGP_PahariEiJ_G0004290.1)". Lineage: Eukaryota; Metazoa; Chordata; Mammalia; Rodentia; Muridae. The record is from RNAcentral.